This 253-nucleotide ribosomal RNA is filed under the name uncultured bacterium. RNAcentral describes it as "partial 16S ribosomal RNA". It matches the Rfam family "Bacterial small subunit ribosomal RNA", at positions 524 to 776 of the family's 1533-position model. The record is from RNAcentral.
UACGAAGGGAGCUAGCGUUGUUCGGAAUCACUGGGCGUAAAGCGCACGUAGGCGGACGUGUCAGUCAGGGGUGAAAUCCCGGAGCUCAACUUCGGAACUGCCUUUGAUACAGCACGUCUUGAGUCCGGAAGAGGUGGGUGGAAUUCCUAGUGUAGAGGUGAAAUUCGUAGAUAUUAGGAAGAACACCGGUGGCGAAGGCGGCCCACUGGUCCGGUACUGACGCUGAGGUGCGAAAGCGUGGGGAUCAAACAGG